RNAcentral lists this transfer RNA (71 nucleotides) under Bacteriophage sp. Its description in RNAcentral is "tRNA-His". It matches the Rfam family "tRNA". From Rfam's summary of the family: Transfer RNA (tRNA) molecules are approximately 80 nucleotides in length. Their secondary structure includes four short double-helical elements and three loops (D, anti-codon, and T loops). The record is from RNAcentral.
GUGUUAGUAGUUUAGUUGGAAACGUCAGAUUGUGGAUCUGAAGAUCGGGAGUUCAAGUCUCCUCUAACACC